UCUGCCGUAUCUGAAUCCCCUCGGCGCCCACCCCCCGCCCCCCGCCGGCCCUGCGGUUGGAGCGCAAAGGGGCCCCAGCCCGCACGGCCGCCCUGCGUCUAUCGGUCCUUCUGCAAACCCGGCGGGGCCCGGCCGACGCGCCGCUUGGCUCCUUGGCUAAACCCGGUUCGCAGCGCACGUUUUUAUGGAAACCGGGUCUGGUCUGAACCCUGGGUCCGGUCCGCUCCGCGGCGGGGGUGCGGGCGCCACCUGCUGCCUGCGCCGGGGGUCGCGACAAAGCGGGGCUGGAAAGACAGACGGACGAACGCACGGGACCCGGAACUGCGGCAACCCCGCACCUAAUCCACGUCUUUUCUCAGAACCUGGAAGAAUACUGAAAACUCAAUCAGAGAAAUAAGCCCAGAAGACCCCACUAGUGGUCUCCUCUCUCAGUCUAAAGAAGACAAAAGUGCCUCUGAAAGAACACGUGAAUAGCUGAGACCUUUUCAAAGACAUCCAAAAAUUCCAGCUUCCACAGUCAUUGAUUCUAAACUCUUAGAAUCUCAUCCUGGGCUGGUGUCGUGACUGUGACUUCUCUGAAAGGACUCCACGCACACCCUGUUACCCCUUUCUCCCCUGUCCCCUGAAACCCUCCCUGCAGGGAGACUCUGAACUCAGACCUAAAUUGAAGAGACUCUGCCCCUUG
This is a long non-coding RNA of Bubalus bubalis (water buffalo), 685 nucleotides long. RefSeq lists it as uncharacterized. Lineage: Eukaryota; Metazoa; Chordata; Mammalia; Artiodactyla; Bovidae. The transcript is spliced from 2 exons. The record is from RefSeq and is a predicted model, not a curated record.